Poeciliopsis prolifica (blackstripe livebearer) is the source of this 1511-nucleotide RNA transcript. It is a transcript of the gene named alcohol dehydrogenase class-3-like, with no coding region annotated. NCBI's taxonomy places the organism in Eukaryota, Metazoa, Chordata, Actinopteri, Cyprinodontiformes, Poeciliidae. The transcript has 9 exons. The record is from RefSeq and is a predicted model, not a curated record.
UCAUUUUUUUUUCCUCUUUUGACAUUUGCGACUGGUUAAGUGACAGUUUUUCAAGUUUCUUUUCUAAUAUUUGUUCACUUCCAGACCUUCUUUUCACUUAAUAAUGGCAACAACAGGACAGGUAAUCAGAUGCCUGGCUGCUGUUGCUUGGGAGCCCAGGAAACCUCUUUCUAUUGAAGAAGUGGAUGUUGCCCCUCCUAAGGCUCAUGAAGUCCGGAUCAAGGUUGUUGCCUCAGGCGUGUGCCACACAGACUGUGAAUACCUGUAUGAAGCCGGAAGAGGAACGCACGCCCGACCUUUCCCUCUGGUUCUCGGCCAUGAAGCGGCAGGUGUAGUGGAGAGUGUUGGCCCAGACGUAACAAAGUUUGCACCGGGGGAUAAAGUUAUUCCUCUUUUUCUUCCGUUUUGUGAAGAGUGUGACCAGUGUAAAUGUGAGAAAACAAACCUCUGCAAGAAGAACUGGGAAAACACACAAGCGGGUGUUUUGGCUGACGGGACGAGUAGAAUAUCUUGCAGAGGUCAGCAGGUCUAUCAGUUCCUGGGUGUCAGCUCCUUUUGUCAGUACACGGUGGUCCCCGAUACGUCUCUGGCUAAGAUAGACCCCAAGGCUCCGCUGGAUAAAGUCUGCCUGCUGGGCUGCGGCGUCUCCACCGGUUACGGUGCGGCUGUUAAAACCGGGAAGGUUGAGAAAGGUUCCUGCUGUGCUGUGUUUGGGCUCGGAGCGGUGGGUCUGGCCGCCGUUAUGGGCUGCCAGGCGGCCAAGGCCAGUAGGAUCAUCGCGGUCGACAUCAACCCUGACAAGUUCCAGAAAGCCAGAGAGUUUGGAGCGACAGAGUGCAUCAACCCCAGAGAUUAUGAAAACAAGGACAUCCAGGAUAUUCUGGUGGAGAAGACCAACGGGGGGGUGGACUAUGCUCUAGAAUGUGUUGGCAAUCCAGUGACCAUGAGUGCUGCGCUGGAGUCCACAAGAGACGGCUGCGGAACAUGCAUCAUUGCUGGGUGGACAGAGACGGAGUCGAUGAGCGUCCAGGUUAUAAAGAUCCUGAUGGGGCGCACCCUGAAGGGGACUUACUUUGGUGGUCAGUUCAAAACAUUCCAGCCUUAUUUUAGGUUGGAAAAGUGCGAAGGAUGUUCCUCAACUGGUGGAGGAUUACAUGCAGAAGAAACUGAAGCUGGAUGAAUUUAUCAGUCAUAAUCUCCCGCUGGCUCAGAUCAAUGAGGCCUUCGACCUGCUGAGGAACGGCCGAAGUAUCCGAACAGUCAUCAGUCUGGAAGACUUCUAAAAGAAGGUUACACCAGAACUGAGUCCAACAAGAAGAAGUGCCUUUAUCCUUUGAUUUAUCCAAGUUUUAGCAACAAGUUACCAUAAAUCCCACUAGGUGGCAGUGUUGUAUCAUAGAAAAAAAUUGGACAUUUGUCCCUAUAAUCAUCCUAUCCCAUUUCCAUUUAUGAAGUUUCUUUUAUUUUAUGUUUUUCCUACAGUUAAUUAAAAUCUUGAUGCAAACACCACA